AGCAUAUCAAUAAGCGGAGGAAAAGAAACUAACAAGGAUUCCCCUAGUAACUGCGAGUGAAGCGGGAAAAGCUCAAAUUUAAAAUCUGGUGGUUUUUGGCCAUCCGAGUUGUAAUCUAGAGAAGUGUUACCCGCGUCGGACCGUGUACAAGUCUCCUGGAAUGGAGCGUCAUAGAGGGUGAGAAUCCCGUCUUUGACACGGACUACCGAGGCUUUGUGGUGCGCUCUCAAAGAGUCGAGUUGUUUGGGAAUGCAGCUCAAAAUGGGUGGUAAAUUCCAUCUAAAGCUAAAUAUUGGCGAGAGACCGAUAGCGAACAAGUACCGUGAGGGAAAGAUGAAAAGAACUUUGGAAAGAGAGUUAAACAGUACGUGAAAUUGCUGAAAGGGAAACGCUUGAAGUCAGUCGCGUUGGCCGGAAAUCAGCCUUGCUUUUUGCAUGGUGUACUUUCUGGUUGACGGGCCAGCAUCAGUUUUGACCGAUGGAAAAAGUCUAGAGGAAGGUGGCAUCUUCGGAUGUGUUAUAGCCUCUGGUCGUAUACAUCGGUUGGGACUGAGGAACUCAGCACGCCGCAAGGCCGGGUCUUUGACCACGUUCGUGCUUAGGAUGCUGGCAUAAUGGCUUUAAUCGACCCGUCUUGAAACACGGACCAAGGAGUCUAACAUGCCUGCGAGUGUUUGGGUGGAAAACCCRAGCGCGUAAUGAAAGUGAAAGUUGAGAUCCCUGUCAUGGGGAGCAUCGACGCCCGGACCAGACGUUUUCUGACGGCCCUGCGGUAGAGCAUGUAUGUUGGGACCCGAAAGAUGGUGAACUAUGCCUGAAUAGGGUGAAGCCAGAGGAAACUCUGGUGGAGGCUCGUAGCGAUUCUGACGUGCAAAUCGAUCGUCAAAUUUGGGUAUAGGGGCGAAAGACUAAUCGAACC
This 919-nucleotide ribosomal RNA is filed under the name Psathyrella ephemera. RNAcentral's name for it is "partial large subunit ribosomal RNA". It matches the Rfam family "Eukaryotic large subunit ribosomal RNA", at positions 37 to 941 of the family's 3401-position model. Lineage: Eukaryota; Fungi; Basidiomycota; Agaricomycetes; Agaricales; Psathyrellaceae. The record is from RNAcentral.